RNAcentral lists this ribosomal RNA (597 nucleotides) under uncultured eukaryote. RNAcentral describes it as "SSU rRNA". It matches the Rfam family "Eukaryotic small subunit ribosomal RNA", at positions 624 to 1241 of the family's 1831-position model. The record is from RNAcentral.
ACGCUCGUAGUCUGAUGUAAUGGGGACUGGCGUGGGGAGCAGCGAUGCUUCCUUUGCUUCGGUCCCCAUCAAGGGGACAGCAAUGUCCCAUUUUACUUUGAGGAAAUUAGAGUGUUCAAAGCAGGCGAUUGCUUGAAUACUGCAGCAUGGAAUAAUGGAAUAGGACUCGCGUCUUAUUUUGUUGGUUUGGAGAUGUGAGUAAUGAUGAAUAGGGACAGUUGGGGGCAUUGGUAUUCAGUAGUCAGAGGUGAAAUUCUUGGAUUUACUGAAGACUAACUAGUGCGAAAGCAUUUGCCAAGGAUGUUUUCAUUGAUCAAGAACGAAAGUUAGGGGAUCGAAGACGAUUAGAUACCGUCGUAGUCUUAACCAUAAACGAUGCCCGACUAGGGGAUCGGCGGAUGACGUUUUAGCGGUUGCCGCCGGGACCUUGCGAGAAAUCAAAAGUUUUUUGGGUUUCUGGGGGGGAGUAUGGUCCGCAAGGCUGAAACUUAAAGGGAAUUGACGGGAAGGGCACCACCAGGGAGGUGGAGCCUGCGGCUUAUUUUGACUCAACCACGGGAAAACCUUCACCCAGGUCCGGGACAUGGGUAAGGGAUU